AGCGAACGCUGGCGGCAGGCUUAACACAUGCCAGUCGAGCGCCCCGCCAGGGGAGCGGCAGACGGGAGAGUAACACGUGGGAACAUACCUUUUGGUUCGGAACAACUGAGGGAAACUUCAGCUAAUACCGGAUAAGCCCUUACGGGGAAAGAUUUAUCGCCGAAACAUUGGCCCGCGUCUGAUUAGCUAGUUGGUGAGGUAACGGCUCACCAAGGCGACGAUCAGUAGCUGGUCUGAGAGGAUGAUCAGCCUCACUGGGACUGAGACACGGCCCAGACUCCUACGGGAGGCAGCAGUGGGGAAUAUUGGACAAUGGGGGCAACCCUGAUCCAGCCAUGCCGCGUGAGUGAUGAAGGCCUUAGGGUUGUAAAGCUCUUUUGCCCGGGAAGAUAAUGACGGUACCGGGAGAAUAAGCCCCGGCUAACUUCGUG
This 431-nucleotide ribosomal RNA is filed under the name uncultured bacterium. Its description in RNAcentral is "partial 16S ribosomal RNA". It matches the Rfam family "Bacterial small subunit ribosomal RNA", at positions 29 to 507 of the family's 1533-position model. The record is from RNAcentral.